AUGUAUACUGGGGCUGGACUUUUUGAGGUCUGCGUGCUGCCUGCUGGAUCUAGGAGAGAACACAUUGACCAGAAUGAUACCACCUACAGGGUCCUCAAAGCCACGCCCCCUGGUCAGGACAGCCGUGGAGACACACUGCCAUGGCACAAAGACCCCAGACGAGAGCGGCAAGUCCGCAGUGCCCUGCCUCUGGUGCCUCAUGCCCCCAGCAACGUCCAGCCCAGCUCGGCACAUUCCGGCUCACCUCACCCAGCCGACGCAACUACGGUGGAGGGGACGGACAGGCUGGCUGCGGUGAGGGAGAUAUGGAGACAGAAUUGUGACAAGUUGGAGCAAUGGCAGCAGGAGGAGCUGUGGGAGGUGUUAUCUGACUUUACAAACAUUUUUGCAUCAGAAGACGAAGUGGGCCUGACACACCUGGUGCAACACGAAAUCGACACGGGGGAUGCACAACCCAUCAAGACGCGUCCCCGGCGCCUCCCCAUGGCUCACCGUGAGGCUGCAGACAGAGCAGCGGAAGAGCUGCAAAAAGCUGGCAUUAUCGAACCGUCAGACAGUCCAUGGGCCUCGGGGCUGGCGAUGGUGUCGAAAAAAAAGAACCCCAAGAUGAGAUUCUGCGUGGACUGCAGACCGCUGAACAGUGUAACCAAGGAGGACGCAUAUCCAUUACCCAGGGUCGAUGAGUCACUGGACUUAGUGUCUGGCUCCUCCUGGUUCUCUUCACUCGACCUGCGAAACGGAUACUGGCAGGUGCCACUCAGCCCUGAAGCGAGGCCAAAGACGGCCUUGUGUAUGGACAGGGGGUUGUGGCAGUUCCGGGUCCUCAGCUUUGGCCUGUGCAACGCCCCGGCCACCUUUGAAAGACUCAUGGACGGGGUGCUGGCUGGCAUUCCCCGUCAGAGAUGUCUGGUGUAUUUGGACGACAUCCUGGCCCACGGGAGCUCCUUCAAAACGGCGUUGGAGUCGCUGAGGCUGGUGCUGCAGAGAGUGUCUGCGGCGGGCCUGAAAUUACACCCACAAAAGUGUUGCUUCAUGAGGAAAGAGGUGGAGUUUUUGGGUCACAGGCUGGGGAAAGAAGGCAUCAGCACACUGGAAAGUGCAGGCAGUGAGAGACUGGCCCACACCCACAGUCCAACGACAACUGAAGAGCUUCCUUGGCCUGGCCUCAUAUUACAGGAAGUUUGUGCGAGGUUUCGCCUGCACAGCCGCCCCCCUGUACCACCUGCUGCAGCAGGGCAGGGGCUUCACCUGGACGCCACAGUGCCAGCAAGCCUUCAACUCCCUCCAGAAGGCACUGACAGAGGCCUCCAUCCUCACCCCCCCCCUGACCCCAUGUUGCCAUUCAUUCUGGACACGGACGCCAGCGACAUGGGCAUGGGUGCAGUGCUGGCUCAGGUUUCAAUAUAA
Long non-coding RNA from Gasterosteus aculeatus (three-spined stickleback), 1407 nucleotides. The record is from Ensembl. NCBI's taxonomy places the organism in Eukaryota, Metazoa, Chordata, Actinopteri, Perciformes, Gasterosteidae.